RNAcentral lists this ribosomal RNA (752 nucleotides) under uncultured bacterium. RNAcentral describes it as "bacterial SSU rRNA". It matches the Rfam family "Bacterial small subunit ribosomal RNA", at positions 1 to 770 of the family's 1533-position model. The record is from RNAcentral.
AAAGGGUGAUUCUGGCUCAGGACGAACGCUGGCGGCGCGCCUAACACAUGCAAGUCGAACGAGAGAGAGGAAGCUUGCUUCCUCAAUCGAGUGGCGAACGGGUGAGUAACGCGUGAGGAACCUGCCUCAAAGAGGGGGACAACAGUUGGAAACGACUGCUAAUACCGCAUAAGCCCACGGCUCGGCAUCGAGCAGAGGGAAAAGGAGCAAUCCGCUUUGAGAUGGCCUCGCGUCCGAUUACCCUAGUUGGUGAGGUAAUGGCCCACCAAGGCGACGAUCGGUAGCCGGACUGAGAGGUUGAACGGCCACAUUGGGACUGAGACACGGCCCCAGACUCCUACGGGAGGCAGCAGUGGGGAAUAUUGCACAAUGGGGGAAACCCUGAUGCAGCGACGCCGCGUGGAAGAAGAAGGUCUUCGGAUUGUAAACUCCUGUUGUUGAGGAAGAUUAAUGACGGUACUCAACAAGGAAGUGACGGCUAACUACGUGCCAGCAGCCGCGGUAAAACGUAGGUCACAAGCGUUGUCCGGAAUUACUGGGUGUAAAGGGAGCGCAGGCGGGAAGACAAGUUGGAAGUGAAAUCUAUGGGCUCAACCCAUAAACUGCUUUCAAAACUGUUUUUCUUGAGUAGUGCAGAGGUAGGCGGAAUUCCCGGUGUAGCGGUGGAAUGCGUAGAUAUCGGGAGGAACACCAGUGGCGAAGGCGGCCUACUGGGCACCAACUGACGCUGAGGCUCGAAAGUGUGGGUAGCA